UAAGUCUCAGCGAGACUUCCGCUCAGUCUCUCAGUCUGGUGAAGAACUUUGCUCUGCGGACGAGCCCUAGCUGGUGUCUGCUGACGCAUAUUGACGAUGAAAAUCACAUGACAGCGCUCGCUCCGUGGGCUCAAAACAGACAUGCCCACAUCUUGACCUACAACCAUGUCCAAGUGGCAGCUCUGGGAUGGAGCUGCUGACGGUGCUGCCUCUGGGACUGCAGGUGGAGCCCCUAGAGGCUGCUCAGUGAGGGGCUCGCAUCAUGCUGCUGACUGAAGGAGCCCGAGGAGCAGCAGGACCUGACUUGGACUGGACUAAGCCUGGAUAUGUGAUGGCGUCAGUCCACCUGCCGCCGCCCCCCCCAGUGCUCCAGCACUGAGGCUGUGAACAGGACUUAAACAUUAGUUUAAGUCCUGUCAGCAGAGGACAGCACUGAGCUGCUUUGACUAACACUAGUCUUCUCUGAGGAGCAGCAGGACCUGACUGGACUAAGCCUGGAUAUGUGAUGGCGUCAGUCCACCUGCCGGCCCCCCAUGGUCCAGCACUGAGGCUGUGAACAGGACUUAAACAUUGGGUUUAAAUGUCCUAAAGGAAUUGCCUACCUUAUCUACAGGAGAUGAUUGUCCUGUAUAAACAACUGUGAAAUGUCUGAAUGUUUGUAUCGUGUACACAUAUUCAAAUAUAUGCUCUAGCAUCAA
Molecule: long non-coding RNA, 698 nt
Organism: Trematomus bernacchii (emerald rockcod)
Lineage: Eukaryota; Metazoa; Chordata; Actinopteri; Perciformes; Nototheniidae
Exons: 7
Source: RefSeq, a predicted model, not a curated record